GAAAAACAUUUAAAGGAACCAUAUCCAUUUUUACACAGCAGACACAGAGAAUGAAUUUGGAGCAGAGAGGCAGAGGGUGAGAAUCCGACACCCCUCAAAUAAAGCGAGACACAGAGAAAUAUUGUGCCUGAAGCAGAGCGGAAAGCUGGAAGGAUCAGAAAAGCCAGAAGGAGAAAAGCA
Prionailurus viverrinus (fishing cat) is the source of this 180-nucleotide long non-coding RNA. RefSeq lists it as uncharacterized. The record is from RefSeq and is a predicted model, not a curated record. The transcript has 3 exons. Lineage: Eukaryota; Metazoa; Chordata; Mammalia; Carnivora; Felidae.